UACGUAGGGGGCAAGCGUUGUCCGGAUUUAUUGGGCGUAAAGAGCGUGUAGGCGGCCAAACAGGUCAGCUGUGAAAACUCGAGGCUCAACCUCGAGACGUCGGUUGAAACCGUUUGGCUAGAGUCCGGAAGAGGAGAGUGGAAUUCCCGGUGUAGCGGUGAAAUGCGCAGAUAUCGGGAAGAACACCCGUGGCGAAGGCGGCUCUCUGGGACGGUACUGACGCUGAGGCGCGAAAGCUAGGGGAGCAAACAGG
RNAcentral lists this ribosomal RNA (253 nucleotides) under uncultured bacterium. RNAcentral describes it as "partial 16S ribosomal RNA". It matches the Rfam family "Bacterial small subunit ribosomal RNA", at positions 524 to 776 of the family's 1533-position model. The record is from RNAcentral.